UUCCAGCUCCAAUAGCGUAUAUUAAUGUUGUUGCAGUUAAAAAGCUCGUAGUUGGAUAUCUGGUCGGGACGUCUGGCCGGCUCCGCAAGGGGUCGUUGCAUUGACUGUACCUCGUCCAUCCUCAGGUUGACUAGCUCUGGUAUUUAUUUAUCGGUGUUAGAACGCCUGUCGUUUACUGUGAACAAAUUAGAGUGUUCAAAGCAAGGUGUACUUGAAUACAUUAGCAUGGAAUAAUAAGAUAGGACUUUGGUGGUUCUUUUUGAUAUUUUGUUGGUUUGCACGCCAAAGUAAUGAUUAAUAGGAGCAGUUGGGGGUAUUCGUAUUCAAUUGUCAGAGGUGAAAUUCUUGGAUUUAUAGAAGACGAACUACUGCGAAAGCAUUUACCAAGGAUGUUUUCAUUA
Molecule: ribosomal RNA, 401 nt
Filed under: Pedinellales sp.
Lineage: Eukaryota; Dictyochophyceae; Pedinellales
Description: partial small subunit ribosomal RNA
Rfam family: Eukaryotic small subunit ribosomal RNA
Source: RNAcentral